This 1211-nucleotide ribosomal RNA is filed under the name metagenome. Its description in RNAcentral is "bacterial LSU rRNA". It matches the Rfam family "Bacterial large subunit ribosomal RNA", at positions 1639 to 2864 of the family's 2925-position model. The record is from RNAcentral.
UGCCUGUACCAUAACCGACACAGGUGGGUAGGUAGAGUAUACUAAGGGGCGCGAGAUAACUCUCUCUAAGGAACUCGGCAAAAUGACUCCGUAACUUCGGGAGAAGGAGUGCCUUAUUUAUAAGGUUGCAAUAACAAGAUCCAAGCAACUGUUUAUCAAAAACACAGGUCUCCGCUAAGUCGUAAGACGAUGUAUGGGGGCUGACGCCUGCCCAGUGCCAGAAGGUUAAAGAAGUUGGUUAGUGUAUGCGAAGCUGAUGACUGAAGCCCUGGUGAACGGCGGCCGUAACGAUAACGGUCCUAAGGUAGCGAAAUUCCUUGUCGGGUAAGUUCCGACCCGCACGAAAGGCGUAAUGAUUUGGAUACUGUCUCGGAGAGAGGCUCGGUGAAAUAGACUUGUCUGUGAAGAUGCGGACUACCUGCACCAGGACAGAAAGACCCUAUGAAGCUUUACUGUAACUUGAAAUUGGAAUUGGACUUUGCUUGCGCAGUAUAGGUGGGAAGCGUUGAAGAUAUUCUUGCGGGAGUAUUGGAGCUAUCAGUGAGAUACCACUCUUGUAAUGUUAGAUUUCUAACUUUGAACCAUAAUCUGGUCAAAGAACAGUUUCAGGUGGGCAGUUUGACUGGGGCGGUCGCCUCCCAAAUGGUAACGGAGGCGUACAAAGGUUUCCUCUGAACGGAUAGAAAUCGUAUCUAGAGUGUAAAGGCAUAAGGAAGCUUGACUGUGAGACCUACAAGUCGAGCAGGGACGAAAGUCGGUCUUAGUGAUCUGACGGUACUGAGUGGAAAGGCCGUCACUCAACGGAUAAAAGUUACUCUAGGGAUAACAGGCUGAUCUCCCCCAAGAGUUCACAUCGACGGGGAGGUUUGGCACCUCGAUGUCGGCUCAUCGCAUCCUGGGGCGGUAGUACGUCCCAAGGGUUGGGCUGUUCGCCCAUGAAAGCGGUACGCGAGCUGGGUUCAGAACGUCGUGAGACGGUUCGGUCCAUAUCCGGUGUAGGCGUUAGAAUAUUGAGAGGAGCCUUCUUUAGUACGAGAGGACCGAGAAGGACACACCGCUGGUGUACCAGUUAUCGUGCCAACGGUAAACGCUGGGUAGCUAUGUGUGGAGUGGAUAACCGCUGAAAGCAUCUAAGUGGGAAGCCCACCUCAAGAUGAGUACUCUCACCAUAUUGGUUAAGGUCACGGGAAGAACACCCGUUGAUAGGCAUC